AAUUGAGUAAUAGUUAUAGUCUUAAAAGUUAAAAAAUUUGGCGGUAUUUUAAUCUAUUCAGAGGAACCUGUCCUGUAAUUGAUAAUCCACGAUUAAAGUUACUUAUUUUAAAAAUUUGUAUAUCGUUGUAGUUGAAUAUUUUAAUAGAAUUUAAAUAUUCUAAAUUUUUAUUAUAAAAAAUAAAUCAGAUCAAGGUGCAGUUUAUAAAUAAGAAGUGAUGGGUUACAAUAAUUUUGGUUUUGGAUUUAAUUUUUAAAAAGUUAAUGAAAUUGGAUUUGAAAGUAAUUUAGUUAAUAUUAGUUAAAUGWUU
This 310-nucleotide ribosomal RNA is filed under the name Tachyusa sp. 1 JCT-2008. RNAcentral's name for it is "partial 12S ribosomal RNA". Lineage: Eukaryota; Metazoa; Arthropoda; Insecta; Coleoptera; Staphylinidae. The record is from RNAcentral.